Molecule: ribosomal RNA, 495 nt
Filed under: uncultured bacterium
Lineage: Bacteria
Description: partial 16S ribosomal RNA
Rfam family: Bacterial small subunit ribosomal RNA
Source: RNAcentral
GACGAACGCUGGCGGCGUGCCUAAUACAUGCAAGUAGAACGCUGAAGGAGGAGCUUGCUUCUCUGGAUGAGUUGCGAACGGGUGAGUAACGCGUAGGUAACCUGCCUGGUAGCGGGGGAUAACUAUUGGAAACGAUAGCUAAUACCGCAUAAGAGUAGAUGUUGCAUGACAUUUGCUUAAAAGGUGCAAUUGCAUCACUACCAGAUGGACCUGCGUUGUAUUAGCUAGUUGGUGAGGUAACGGCUCACCAAGGCAACGAUACAUAGCCGACCUGAGAGGGUGAUCGGCCACACUGGGACUGAGACACGGCCCAGACUCCUACGGGAGGCAGCAGUAGGGAAUCUUCGGCAAUGGACGGAAGUCUGACCGAGCAACGCCGCGUGAGUGAAGAAGGUUGUCGGAUCGUAAAGCUCUGUUGUAAGAGAAGAACGAGUGUGAGAGUGGAAAGUUCACACUGUGACGGUAGCUUACCAGAAAGGGACGGCUAACUACGUG